RNAcentral lists this transfer RNA (91 nucleotides) under Pelagococcus subviridis. It matches the Rfam family "tRNA", at positions 8 to 63 of the family's 71-position model. Rfam says of the family: Transfer RNA (tRNA) molecules are approximately 80 nucleotides in length. Lineage: Eukaryota; Pelagophyceae; Pelagomonadales; Pelagomonadaceae. The record is from RNAcentral.
UGGCGCAAUGGAUAGCGCACCGGACUUCUAUCGCGUCGUCUCUCUUGCGCUCUCGAAGACCAUCCGGGGGUUGCGGGUUCGAGUCCCGCAA